CCUGGGCGUGGGGGCACACGCUCGUAGUCCCAGCUACACAGAGGCUGAGGCAGGAGGAUCACUUGAGCCCAGCAGUUCUGGGCUGCAGUGCGCUAUGCUGACUGCGUGCCACACAGCAUCAAUGUGGUGACCUCCUGGGAGCGGGGGACGGCCAGGUUGCCUGAGGAGGGGUCAACUGGCCCAGGUCGGAAAGAGAGCAGGUCAAAACUCCGGUGCUGAUCAGUAGUGGGAUCAGUGAAUAGACAUUGCACUCCAUCCUGGCAACACAGUGAGACCCAUCUCUU
Camelus dromedarius (Arabian camel) is the source of this 284-nucleotide unclassified non-coding RNA. It matches the Rfam family "Metazoan signal recognition particle RNA". Rfam says of the family: The signal recognition particle (SRP) is a universally conserved ribonucleoprotein. It is involved in the co-translational targeting of proteins to membranes. Lineage: Eukaryota; Metazoa; Chordata; Mammalia; Artiodactyla; Camelidae. The record is from Ensembl.